GCCGGGUGCGGUGGCGCGCGCCUGUAAUCCAAGUUACCGGGAGGCUGAGGCUGGCGGAUCGUUUGAGCUCAGGAGUUCUGAGCUGCAGCGGACUAUGCCGAUCGGGUGUCCGCACUAAGUUCGGUAUCGAUAUGGUGCUCCUGGGGGAGCCCGGGACCACCAGGUCGUCUAAGGAGGGGUGCACCGGCCCAGGCCGGAGACGGAGCAGGCCAAAGCCCCCGUGCCGCUCAGUAGUGGGAUCGCGCCUGUGAAUAGACGCUGUAGUGCAGCCUGAGUAAUACAGCGGGACCCAGUCUUUU
Unclassified non-coding RNA from Sander lucioperca (pikeperch), 299 nucleotides. It matches the Rfam family "Metazoan signal recognition particle RNA". From Rfam's summary of the family: The signal recognition particle (SRP) is a universally conserved ribonucleoprotein. It is involved in the co-translational targeting of proteins to membranes. The eukaryotic SRP consists of a 300-nucleotide 7S RNA and six proteins: SRPs 72, 68, 54, 19, 14, and 9. The record is from Ensembl. Lineage: Eukaryota; Metazoa; Chordata; Actinopteri; Perciformes; Percidae.